RNAcentral lists this small RNA (808 nucleotides) under uncultured Psiloglonium. RNAcentral describes it as "eukaryotic LSU rRNA". The stretch from base 526 to 808 matches the Rfam family "Eukaryotic large subunit ribosomal RNA", at positions 1 to 281 of the family's 3401-position model. Lineage: Eukaryota; Fungi; Ascomycota; Dothideomycetes; Hysteriales; Hysteriaceae. The record is from RNAcentral.
CUUGGUCAUUUAGAGGAAGUAAAAGUCGUAACAAGGUUUCCGUAGGUGAACCUGCGGAAGGAUCAUUACCUAGAGUUUGUAGACUUCGGUCUGCUACCUCUUACCCAUGUCUUUUGAGUACCUUCGUUUCCUCGGCGGGUCCGCCCGCCGAUUGGACGACAUUCAAACCCUUUGCAGUUGCAAUCAGCGUCUGAAAAAACAUAAUAGUUACAACUUUCAACAACGGAUCUCUUGGUUCUGGCAUCGAUGAAGAACGCAGCGAAAUGCGAUAAGUAGUGUGAAUUGCAGAAUUCAGUGAAUCAUCGAAUCUUUGAACGCACAUUGCGCCCCUUGGUAUUCCAUGGGGCAUGCCUGUUCGAGCGUCAUUUGUACCUUCAAGCUCUGCUUGGUGUUGGGUGUUUGUCUCGCCUCUGCGUGUAGACUCGCCUUAAAACAAUUGGCAGCCGGCGUAUUGAUUUCGGAGCGCAGUACAUCUCGCGCUUUGCACUCACAACGACGACGUCCAAAAGUACAUUUUUACACUCUUGACCUCGGAUCAGGUAGGGAUACCCGCUGAACUUAAGCAUAUCAAUAAGCGGAGGAAAAGAAACCAACAGGGAUUGCCCUAGUAACGGCGAGUGAAGCGGCAACAGCUCAAAUUUGAAAUCUGGCGUCUUUGGCGUCCGAGUUGUAAUUUGCAGAGGGCGCUUUGGCAUUGGCAGCGGUCCAAGUUCCUUGGAACAGGACGUCACAGAGGGUGAGAAUCCCGUACGUGGUCGCUAGCCUUUACCGUGUAAAGCCCCUUCGACGAGUCGAGUUGUUUGGGAAU